UACUAGAGUAGCACUCGCAUAUCAAUAAGCGGAGGAAAAGAAACUAACAAGGAUUCCCCUAGUAACGGCGAGUGAAGCGGGAAGAGCUCAAAUUUGAAAUCUUAAAGGGUUUCCCUUUACGAAUUGUAGUUUAAAGAAGUGUUUUCUGUUGAGGUUUUGGUAAAAGUUCUUUGGAAUAGGACAUCAUAGAGGGUGAGAAUCCCGUAUUUGACCUUUACUUUCAACUUUGUGAUACACUUUCAAAGAGUCGGAUUGUUUGGGAAUGCAGUCCAAAAUGGGUGGUAAAUUUCAUCUAAAGCUAAAUAUUGGCGAGAGACCGAUAGCGAACAAGUACCGUGAGGGAAAGAUGAAAAGAACUUUGAAAAGAGAGUUAAACAGUACGUGAAAUUGUCAAAAGGGAAGCGGUUGACACCAGUGUUGUUUUUCCGAAAAUCAAUUAAAGAACUGUUUAUGCUAAGUUGUUUAGACUUUAUCAGCUAAUCUGUUUAGUUUUGAGCUUUUCUUUAAUGCACUUUUCAGUUAACAAGUCAACAUCAAUUUCUUUUGCUGUAAAAAAGCUUGAGGAAGGUGGCUUGAGAUUCGUCUUAAGUGUUUAUAGCCUCUUGCCUAUGCAGUCGGAGAGAUUGAGGUCUGCAGCGUAGAUCCUUCGGGGCUAAAUGCAUUUGUGCUAAGUUAUAGCAUUUUAUAGACAACUUGUUGACUAUGAUUUGUCUUGUAGCUUACUCGCUUAUGUUAUUUUACCUACGCUUAGGAUGUUGAGCGCAUGUCUCUCUCU
RNAcentral lists this ribosomal RNA (775 nucleotides) under uncultured Neocallimastigales. RNAcentral's name for it is "partial large subunit ribosomal RNA". It matches the Rfam family "Eukaryotic large subunit ribosomal RNA", at positions 20 to 616 of the family's 3401-position model. The record is from RNAcentral. Lineage: Eukaryota; Fungi; Neocallimastigomycota; Neocallimastigomycetes; Neocallimastigales.